GAGGCCCCAGGAUGGGACCGCGUCCUAUCAGGUAGUAGGUGAGGUAACGGCCCACCUAUCCUAAGACGGGUGCGGGCUCUGAGAGGAGGAGCCCGGAGAUGGGCACUGAGACAAGGGCCUAGGCCCUACGGGGCGCAGCAGGCGCGGAACUUCCCCAAUACGCGCAAGCGUGAGGGAGUGAGCUCGAGUGCUGCCCGCUGAGGGUAGCUGUUCCCAGGUGUAAACAGCCUGGGGUAGGAAGGGGAGGGUAAGGCUGGUGCCAGCCGCCGCGGUAAAACCAGCUCCCCGAGGGGUCCCCACGCAUACUGGGCCUAAAGCGUCCGUAGCCGGCCCUGUAAGUCCCCGGUUAAAUCCACUGGAAGACCAGUGGGCCGCCGGGGAUACUGUAGGGCUAGGGAGCGAGAGGGGUCGAGGGUAUUCCGGGGGAUAGCGGUAAAAUGCAUAGAUCCCCGGAGGACCACCAGUGGCGAAGGCGCUCGGCUGGAACGCGUCCGACGGCGAGGGACGAAAGCUGGGGGAGCAAACCGGAUUAGAUACCCGGGUAGUCCCAGCUGUAAACGAUGCCGGCUAGGUGCCGGCCGAGGUUUCGGCCUCGGCCGGUGUCGAAGCGAAGGCGUUAAGCCGGCCGCCUGAGGAGUACGGCCGCAAGGCUGAAACUUGAAGGAAUUGACGGGGGGGCACCACAAGGGGUGAAUGCCUGCGGCUCAAUUGGACUCAACACCGGGAAUCUUACCGGGAGCGACAGCAGGAUGAAGGUCAGGCUGAAGACCUUACCUGACGCGCUGAGGGGUGGUGCAUGGCCGUCGCCAGCUCGUGCCAUGAGGUGUCCUGUUAAGUCAGGCAACGAGCGAGACCCCCACCCUUAGUUGCCAGCGGGGCCCUUUGGGGCUGUCUGGGCAAACUAAGGGGACUGCCGGCGAAGAGCCGGAGGAAGGAGAGGGCCACGGCAGGUCAGUAUGCCCCUAAUCCCCCGGGCCGCACGCGGGCUGCAAUGGGCAGGACAGCGGGAUGCGACCCCGAGAGGGGAAGCAAAUCCCUGAAACCUGCUCGUAGUCGGGAUCGAGAGCUGUAACUCGCUCUCGUGAACCCGGAAUCCCUAGUAACCGCGGUUCUUCAUACCGCGGUGAAUACGUCCCUGCCCCUUGUACWCACCGCCCGU
Molecule: ribosomal RNA, 1159 nt
Filed under: uncultured korarchaeote
Lineage: Archaea; Thermoproteati; Thermoproteota
Description: bacterial SSU rRNA
Rfam family: Archaeal small subunit ribosomal RNA
Source: RNAcentral